AUAAAAUUAGCUUAUAAAAAUAAAAGCCUUUAAAUGUUAAUUAAAAAAAAAUAAAAAAAAUUAUUAUUUUAUA
RNAcentral lists this transfer RNA (73 nucleotides) under Achatinella mustelina. RNAcentral's name for it is "tRNA-Asn". The record is from RNAcentral. Lineage: Eukaryota; Metazoa; Mollusca; Gastropoda; Stylommatophora; Achatinellidae.